This 64-nucleotide transfer RNA is filed under the name Spurilla braziliana. Its description in RNAcentral is "tRNA-His". The record is from RNAcentral. Lineage: Eukaryota; Metazoa; Mollusca; Gastropoda; Nudibranchia; Aeolidiidae.
AUAGAGUUAGUUUAAUAUAAAAACUUUGGUCUGUGGAACCAAGGAUAACAUGAUGUUGCUCUUU